Phrynosoma platyrhinos (Desert horned lizard) is the source of this 72-nucleotide non-coding RNA. Lineage: Eukaryota; Metazoa; Chordata; Lepidosauria; Squamata; Phrynosomatidae. The record is from the annotation of a GenBank genome assembly.
GCCAGUGUAGUGCAGUGGUUUGAGCGUUGGACUACAACUCUGGAGACCAUAGUUCAAAUCUCUGCUUGAGCA